CCUACGGGAGGCUGCAGUGAGGAAUAUUGGUCAAUGGCCGGAACGCUGAACCAGCCAAGCCGCGUGAAGGACGAAGGUGCCAAGCAUUGUAAACUUCUUUUGUCAAGGGACAAAAUCAGGCUCGAGAGCCUGACCGAGGGUACUUGAAGAAAAAGCAUCGGCUAACUCCGUGCCAGCCGCCGCGGUACUACGGAGGAUGCGAGCGUUAUCCGGAUUUAUUGGGUUGAAGGGGUGCGUAGGCGGACUGUUAAGUCAGCGGUAAAAGCCCGGGGCUCAACCCCGGCGAGCCGUUGAAACUGGCUGGCUUGAGAUGUCGAGAGGUAUGUGGAAUGCGCAGUGUAGCGGUGAAAUGCUUAGAUAUUGCGAAGAACUCCGAUUGCGAAGGCAGCAUACCGGCGGCGAUCUGACGCUGAGGCACGAAAGCGUGGGUAUCGAACAGGAUUAGAUACCCGAGUAGUC
RNAcentral lists this ribosomal RNA (459 nucleotides) under uncultured bacterium. Its description in RNAcentral is "partial 16S ribosomal RNA". It matches the Rfam family "Bacterial small subunit ribosomal RNA", at positions 338 to 795 of the family's 1533-position model. The record is from RNAcentral.